AAUCCUGGCUCAGGACGAACGCUGGCGGCGCGCCUAACACAUGCAAGUCGAACGGAGCUUAGAGAGCUUGCUUUUUAAGCUUAGUGGCGAACGGGUGAGUAACGCGUGAGUAACCUGCCCUAGAGUGGGGGACAACAGUUGGAAACGACUGCUAAUACCGCAUAAGCCCACGGUACCGCAUGGUACUGAGGGAAAAGGAUUUAUUCGCUUUAGGAUGGACUCGCGUCCAAUUAGCUAGUUGGUGAGGUAACGGCCCACCAAGG
This 263-nucleotide ribosomal RNA is filed under the name uncultured bacterium. RNAcentral describes it as "partial 16S ribosomal RNA". It matches the Rfam family "Bacterial small subunit ribosomal RNA", at positions 15 to 273 of the family's 1533-position model. The record is from RNAcentral.